CAUGAGGUUAGAGUAGCUUCGUGUUAGAGAAAAGGGAUCAGACUCACUAACUGGAACUCUGUCCUCUGGUCUCCUGGUUUGGAUCUUAAAUGACUGAAGACACACAAGGGAGAAGAUGAUCUGCAGCAUCCUGCUGCUCAUCAUCCUGACCUCCUGUGUCUCUGGAACAUUUGUAGUGAAUGUGACCCAGACCUCCUAUCAGGCAGAGGAGAACCACGACAUCACACUGGAGUGGACCUUCACAACCAACCCUCACAGUUCCUCCAACUCUCUUAAUAUCUUCUGUGAACUGUUAACUGAUCUCAAGAAUCCAGUCCUGUUUCAUCUCCAUGAAGGAGUUGAGGUCCCAGAGUCUCAGGAUGAACAGUUUGCAGGACGAGUCCAGUGGGACAAAGACAUCCUCGGAGAAGGACGACUCAGACUUCAUGUGUCCAGACUCAGGACUGAAGACUCAGGACUGUACCUGUGUGAUAUUCUCACAGAUUAUGGGAGUAAGUCUGGUAGAUGUUGGCUCAAUGUUACUGCAGCGAGGGAUCGGCCUGAACCUGAGACACCAAACACAACAAGUCCACAACAACCAGAGAGUCGGGGAAGGAUCGGUCUCUACUGUGGACUGGGACUGACAGCAGCAGCAGUUCUGCUGGCGUUCUGUACUCACUUCUUAGUCUUACGUCUCUCACUUCUUAGUCUUACGUCUUUGUUUUACAAAAUCUACUGA
Long non-coding RNA from Sander lucioperca (pikeperch), 718 nucleotides. NCBI's taxonomy places the organism in Eukaryota, Metazoa, Chordata, Actinopteri, Perciformes, Percidae. The record is from Ensembl.